AGAACGAACGCUGGCGGCAGGCCUAACACAUGCAAGUCGAGCGCCCCGCAAGGGGAGCGGCAGACGGGAGAGUAACACGUGGGAACGUGCCCUUUGGUUCGGAACAACACAGGGAAACUUGUGCUAAUACCGGAUAAGCCCUUACGGGGAAAGAUUUAUUGCCAAGGGAUCGGCCCGCGUCUGAUUAGCUUGUUGGUGAGGUAACGGCUCACCAAGGCUACGAUCAGUAGCUGGUCUGAGAGGAUGAUCAGCCUCACUGGGACUGAGACACGGCCCAGACUCCUACGGGAGGCAGCAGUGGGGAAUAUUGGACAAUGGGCGCAAGCCUGAUCCAGCCAUGCCGCGUGGAUGAUGAAGGCCUUAGGGUUGUAAAGUCCUUUCGGCGGGGAAGAUAAUGACGGUACCCGCAGGAAGAAGCCCCGGCUAACUUCGUGCCAGCAGCCGC
RNAcentral lists this ribosomal RNA (445 nucleotides) under uncultured bacterium. RNAcentral's name for it is "SSU rRNA". It matches the Rfam family "Bacterial small subunit ribosomal RNA", at positions 26 to 518 of the family's 1533-position model. The record is from RNAcentral.